This 372-nucleotide ribosomal RNA is filed under the name uncultured organism. RNAcentral's name for it is "bacterial SSU rRNA". It matches the Rfam family "Bacterial small subunit ribosomal RNA", at positions 526 to 896 of the family's 1533-position model. The record is from RNAcentral.
CAGAGGGUGCGAGCGUUAAUCGGAAUUACUGGGCGUAAAGGGUGCGUAGGUGGUUAUGUAAGUUAGAUGUGAAAUUUCCGGGCUUAACCUGGGAACUGCGUCUGAUACUGCAUAGCUAGAGUCCUGUAGAGGAAAGCGGAAUUUCCGGUGUAGCAGUGAAAUGCGUAGAUAUCGGAAGGAACAUCAGUGGCGAAGGCGGCUUUCUGGACAGAGACUGACACUGAGGCACGAAAGCGUGGGGAGCAAACAGGAUUAGAUACCCUGGUAGUCCAUGCUGUAAACGAUGAAGACUGGCUGUUGGCUGCCUAUAGGCAGUGAGUAGCGAAGCAAACGCGUUAAGUCUUCCGCCUGGGGAGUACGGCCGCAAGGUUA